GAUGAAGAACGCAGCGAAAUGCGAUAAGUAAUGUGAAUUGCAGAAUUUAGUGAAUCAUCGAAUCUUUGAACGCAUAUUGCGCCCGCCAGCACUCUGGCGGGCAUGCCUGUUCGAGCGUCAUUUCAACCCUCAGGCCUCGCGUCUGACGUUGGGGCGCUGCGGCCCUCCCGCAGGCCCCCAAAUCUAGCGGCGGAUCCGCCGCGGCCCUGAGCGCAGUAGUUUGACUCGAACGCUCCGGCGGCCGUGGCGCGGUUCUGCCUCCCGCCCCAUAGCGCCGAUGGCGUUACUCCCAAAAGUUGACCUCGGAUCAGGUAGGACUACCCGCUGAACUUAAGCAUAUCAAUAAGCGGAGGA
This 354-nucleotide unclassified non-coding RNA is filed under the name soil metagenome. RNAcentral describes it as "partial contains 5.8S ribosomal RNA, internal transcribed spacer 2, and large subunit ribosomal RNA". The stretch from base 1 to 120 matches the Rfam family "5.8S ribosomal RNA", at positions 35 to 154 of the family's 154-position model. The record is from RNAcentral.